AUGCUGUCACUCCCGCAGUUCCCGCGUGCCCCCGGCAGACAGAUGCACGGGGGGACCUCCAGCCCGGAAGCAGGGCCUAGAGAAGCCCCCCGAGGGCCGCCCCCAACCCAGGACCCUUUCCACACUCAGACCCACGCCCUGGGAUCUCUGGAGAAACGUGACGGGAACAAGGCCCCCCAGGUCCAUGGGGAUGUAGCCUGCGCUCCCUGGGGACCACAGAAGCACCCCUCAGGCGCUGUGGGGUCCAUCACCCUGCCCUCCAGCCCACCUCCAACCCAGGACCCCUUCCGGCCCCCCAGAACCAUCUACCUCGUUAGGAAAGGGGUGACCUACAUUAGGAUGCCAGGAGCACAGCAGCUCAGGCAGGCGUGGCCACUGCGGAAUAAAUUCACACCGUCUGGGAGGGAAGUCCCCACCCAGGUGGGAGAACGGGCAACGGAAACGAGUGAGGUGGCGGUCUCGGGGCUCCAAGCCCCACAGCCUGUGGGCAUUUCUGUCCCAGUCCCAGGGACAGGGACACAGAGAGGAGGGUGGACCCAGCGGGGUCCCCAGCCUCCUUCGCUGGGCUCUGCUGAGAGAAUCAGGAUAGAGGAUGGGGCUGAGGAGCUGCAGGCCGAGCGACGCCUCCCCAGGAUAGGAACACGGGCUCUGGGCCCCAGCCCUCUGCUACUCCAGCGUGGUCCACGGGCCAGCAGCAGCAGCCCCACCAGGAGCUUCCCAGACCCGGCCCAGGCCGACGGGGUCAGGAUCUGCCUCUUAACGUACCUGGUCACGUUCGAGAAGCCCUGGGCCAGGUCACUUCUCUCCCAGAAGCGCAGACCCCGGCACCUCCCAGGAGGCCGCGGCGGGGGAUGGCCGGGGCCGGGGCAGCCGGGGGCGGCGGCGAUGGGGGAUGCUGGCGGUAACAGCUCUGCAGGAGGGCUCCGCAUGGGGGGAAACCAUGCCCGCGGGGAAACACCUGUGUAUGGUUCCCAGUCCCCGCAACAACUGUCUGGGGUUAGAAGCACUGUUGACACCAUUUUGCGGAUGGGGACACGGAGACUGGGGACAGGUAGUAACUUGCCUAAGGGCAGGCAGUGGGAGGGUGCAGCCAGGGCCCAGCCGGCCUGGCGACAGAGCUACUGA
Molecule: long non-coding RNA, 1125 nt
Filed under: Monodon monoceros (narwhal)
Lineage: Eukaryota; Metazoa; Chordata; Mammalia; Artiodactyla; Monodontidae
Description: lncRNA (ENSMMNG00015013135.1)
Source: RNAcentral